RNAcentral lists this ribosomal RNA (422 nucleotides) under uncultured bacterium. RNAcentral's name for it is "partial 16S ribosomal RNA". It matches the Rfam family "Bacterial small subunit ribosomal RNA", at positions 360 to 774 of the family's 1533-position model. The record is from RNAcentral.
AAUUUUUGACAAUGGGCGAAAGCCUGAUCCAGCCAUGCCGCGUGCAGGAUGAAGGCCUGCGGGUUGUAAACUGCUUUUGUACGGAACGAAAAGCUUUGGGUUAAUACCCUGGAGUCAUGACGGUACCGUAAGAAUAAGCACCGGCUAACUACGUUCCCUCAGCCACGGUAAUACGUAGGGUGCAAGCGUUAAUCGGAAGUACUGGGCGUAAAGCGUGCGCGGGCGGUUUUGUAAGACAGAGGUGAAAGCCCCGGGCUCAACCUGGUAAGGGCCUUUGUGACUGCAAGGCUAGAGAAAGGCAGAGAGAGGUGGAAUUCCGCGUGUAGCAGUGAAAUGCGUAGGUAUGCGGAGGAACACCGAUGGCGAAGGCAACCCCCUGGGCCUGUACUGACGCUCAUGCACGAAAGCGUGGGUAGCAAACA